CAUGUACCCAGCCCCCCAUGCUUCAUUCAGGGCCAGGCCUUCAGUCCUUGGGGUUUUCUGCUGGGUUGGGGCAGUAUCUUUCAGAGAUAAAGAAUGGGAAACUUUUGGAAGCUUCUGUUACCCAAAUGUAUACUUUCUGGGACAGGAUCCACCUCUAAGUUCUACAGUCAGGGUCUGGAGUCCAUACCUCAGCUCUGCAAUGAGAACAGAGUCUUCAGGGAAGAAAAUCGAAGACUUCAGGCUCAACUGAGUCAUGUUUCCAGAGAGCACUCCCAAGAAACGGAAAGCCUGAGGGAGGCUCUGCUGUCCUCUCGAUCCCAUCUUCAAGAGCUGGAAAAGGAGCUGGAGCACCAGAAGGUGGAAAGGCAGCAGCUUUUGGAAGACUUGAGGGAGAAGCAGCAAGAGGUCUUGCGUUUCAGGGAGGAACGUCUUUCCCUCCAGGAAAACGACUCCAGCUUACAGCCUGGAUGCCUGUCACCAAAUCCUUUUGAGCAGUGACCUGAGCCACCUGGUGGCAGAGGUAUGAGCUCUGAGAGGGCAGCUGGAGCAGAGCAUUCAGGGGAACAAUUGUCUGCGACUGCAGCUGCAACAGCAGCUGGAUAGCGGUGCUGGCAAAGCCAGCCUCAGCCCCUCCUCCAUUAACCAGAACUUCCCAGCCAGCGCUGACUCUGGAAACAAGCAGCUGCUCCUCCAAGGUAGGAAGGAAAAGGGACUUAGAAAACCCUCGGCCAGUGGGGAGAUCACCAGGAUGUCUGCGGCAGAAGGUGCAAUCGGCCUGGUCCAUGCUCCUUAGGGUCAGGUUG
This 803-nucleotide long non-coding RNA is filed under the name Gorilla gorilla gorilla (western lowland gorilla). Its description in RNAcentral is "lncRNA (ENSGGOG00000044327.1)". The record is from RNAcentral. Lineage: Eukaryota; Metazoa; Chordata; Mammalia; Primates; Hominidae.